GCCGAGGUAGCUCAAUGGCAGAGCAACUGUUUUGUAAACAGAAGAUCGGGGAUCGUUCCCCCGCCUCGGCUCCA
RNAcentral lists this transfer RNA (74 nucleotides) under Chloroflexota bacterium. Its description in RNAcentral is "tRNA-Thr". It matches the Rfam family "tRNA". Rfam says of the family: Transfer RNA (tRNA) molecules are approximately 80 nucleotides in length. The record is from RNAcentral. Lineage: Bacteria; Bacillati; Chloroflexota.